CAGCAUGGUCUUAGCUUGCUAAGACUGAUGGCGACCGGCGCACGGGUGCGUAACGCGUAUGCAACUUGCCUCACAGAGGGGGAUAACCCGUCGAAAGACGGACUAAUACCGCGUACACUCCACUUUGGGCAUCCAAAGUAGAGGAAAUGAAAUUCGCUGUGAGAUAGGCAUGCGUCCCAUUAGCUAGUUGGUGAGGUAACGGCUCACCAAGGCGACGAUGGGUAGGGGAACUGAGAGGUUGAACCCCCACACUGGUACUGAGACACGGACCAGACUCCUACGGGAGGCAGCAGUGAGGAAUAUUGGUCAAUGGGCGAGAGCCUGAACCAGCCAAGUCGCGUGGAGGAUGACUGUCUUAUGGAUUGUAAACUUCUUUUAUACGGGAAUAACAAGAGUCACGUGUGACUCCCUGCAUGUACCGUAUGAAUAAGCAUCGGCUAACUCCGUGCCAGCAGCCGCGGUAAUACGGAGGAUGCGAGCGUUAUCCGGAUUUAUUGGGUUUAAAGGGUGCGUAGGCGGCCUGUUAGGUCAGCGGUGAAAUCUAGGAGCUUAACUCCUAAAUUGCCAUUGAUACUGGCGGGCUUGAGUGUAGAUGAGGUAGGCGGAAUGCGUGGUGUAGCGGUGGAAUGCAUAGAUAUCACGCAGAACUCCGAUUGCGAAGGCAGCUUACUAAGGUACAACUGACGCUGAAGCACGAAAGCGUGGGUAUCAAACAGGAUUAGAUACCCUGGUAGUCCACGCAGUAAACGAUGAUAACUGGGCGUAUGCGAUAUACAGUAUGCUCCUAAGCG
This 791-nucleotide ribosomal RNA is filed under the name uncultured Porphyromonadaceae bacterium. Its description in RNAcentral is "bacterial SSU rRNA". It matches the Rfam family "Bacterial small subunit ribosomal RNA", at positions 68 to 853 of the family's 1533-position model. The record is from RNAcentral. Lineage: Bacteria; Pseudomonadati; Bacteroidota; Bacteroidia; Bacteroidales; Porphyromonadaceae.